CUCAUUGCCAAUAUAGUCAUCUGGGGCAUUUGGGCUAAAAUAUGGAUUUUGAGGGGCCUCUAGUAGGGAGCCACUAUUCAACCUAGCACGGUACUGUUCAUUCAUCCUGUGCCGUGGCGGCAGCCUGGACAGUCACCUGCGAGCUGGGACCGAAGCGCAUCAACAACACGGACAUGGUCUCCUCUUUCCCUGCUGUUUCAUCCCUACAGUUUCCUUUUGACAUGACACACUGAUCAUCAGGUUAUCAGUUCUUCCUAUAAAUACCUUUUCGUGCAAUUGUCUGGGAGUAUUUGAGGCACCGGUGAAAUAAAUAGUGUGACAGGUUCCACCAGCUUCAAAUGAGUCCCUGCUCAGUAUGGUUCGUUAUCCCUGCUCGGGAAGGAAUUGCUCCUCAAGGCUGUCUGCACUCGGAGAUUUUGUCACUCCAUCUGCUCCCUGGCUGAGUGACAAUCUGCUGCUGCCAGCCCUCUGCUCACCAGCAGGACGGCGAGAAUGUCUCCAGGUGCCCGUGGACGCACCUGAGCUCCAGCAUCCCUUGACUGAGUUACUAAAAAGUGAACAGAUUCAGAGAGGAAAGAGCUAAAGGUGGGGAGAU
Long non-coding RNA from Hyaena hyaena (striped hyena), 595 nucleotides. RefSeq lists it as uncharacterized. NCBI's taxonomy places the organism in Eukaryota, Metazoa, Chordata, Mammalia, Carnivora, Hyaenidae. The record is from RefSeq and is a predicted model, not a curated record. The transcript is spliced from 3 exons.